UUUGUUCAAUUUGGUCCUCAUUUUUUUUUGUGUUCAAUAUUAUCCUAAAGAUUAUAAAUUUUGUUCAAUUUAGUCCUUUUUGGAGACACCGUCUAAAUAGUUAACGGCAAACAGUCCAAGUGUUCAAUACAGUAACAUGUUGGCAUAUAACUGACAACGUGGAUCCCCUUGAGGCACAAUUACGUGGAUUGUGAAAGAAAUGUUAUUUAUUUAAUGAAACCCAAUCUUUGACAAG
This 235-nucleotide long non-coding RNA is filed under the name Vigna radiata. RNAcentral describes it as "long non-coding RNA (VRAD_LNC008416)". The record is from RNAcentral. Lineage: Eukaryota; Viridiplantae; Streptophyta; Magnoliopsida; Fabales; Fabaceae.